Molecule: ribosomal RNA, 249 nt
Filed under: uncultured bacterium
Lineage: Bacteria
Description: partial 16S ribosomal RNA
Rfam family: Bacterial small subunit ribosomal RNA
Source: RNAcentral
UACGUAGGGGCCAAGCGUUGUCCGGAUUUAUUGGGCGUAAAGAGCUCGUAGGCGGUUCGGCAAGUCAGCUGUGAAAUCUCCACGCUCAACGUGGAGGGGUCAGCUGAUACUGCUGUGACUCGAGUCCGGUAGGGGAGUGUGGAAUUCCCGGUGUGAGCGGUGAAAUGCGCAGAUAUCGGGAGGAACACCAGUAGCGAAGGCGGCACUCUGGGCCGGUACUGACGCUGAGGAGCGAAAGCGUGGGGAGCA